This is a long non-coding RNA of Glycine soja, 282 nucleotides long. RefSeq lists it as uncharacterized. The transcript has 3 exons. NCBI's taxonomy places the organism in Eukaryota, Viridiplantae, Streptophyta, Magnoliopsida, Fabales, Fabaceae. The record is from RefSeq and is a predicted model, not a curated record.
AUAAUUGUCCAAUUCAGGGCACAUUGGCAACUAUUUGUUCUCCACCCAAGGGAAAACACGGUCGUUUGGUUUUGUUCUCUGAGGAAGAAGCCUGAUAUUAACAUCAAAGGCGCAAUUAACAGUGCAAUGAAGACAAUAACCAGUUCUUUUGAAGGCAUGUCUAAUCAAGGUGCACCUCGGUGGGUUGAACCCAAGACUAAUGUGCAAAGCGGAGGGUUUGAGUGCGGAUAUUAUGUCAUGCACUGGAUGUGGUGCAUCGUGACUGUCGGUUUGAAGGAUGAC